GGAAGCGUGGCAGAGCGGUUGAAUGCACCAGUCUUGAAAACUGGCGAGGAUGCAAGUCCUCCGUGAGUUCGAAUCUCACCGCUUCCGCCA
RNAcentral lists this transfer RNA (90 nucleotides) under Rhodocyclaceae bacterium. RNAcentral's name for it is "tRNA-Ser". It matches the Rfam family "tRNA". From Rfam's summary of the family: Transfer RNA (tRNA) molecules are approximately 80 nucleotides in length. Their secondary structure includes four short double-helical elements and three loops (D, anti-codon, and T loops). Further hydrogen bonds mediate the characteristic L-shaped molecular structure. tRNAs have two regions of fundamental functional importance: the anti-codon, which is responsible for specific mRNA codon recognition, and the 3' end, to which the tRNAs corresponding amino acid is attached (by aminoacyl-tRNA synthetases). tRNAs cope with the degeneracy of the genetic code in two manners: having more than one tRNA (with a specific anti-codon) for a particular amino acid; and 'wobble' base-pairing, i.e. permitting non-standard base-pairing at the 3rd anti-codon position. The record is from RNAcentral. Lineage: Bacteria; Pseudomonadati; Pseudomonadota; Betaproteobacteria; Rhodocyclales; Rhodocyclaceae.